RNAcentral lists this microRNA (21 nucleotides) under Populus trichocarpa (black cottonwood). RNAcentral describes it as "ptc-miR7819". Lineage: Eukaryota; Viridiplantae; Streptophyta; Magnoliopsida; Malpighiales; Salicaceae. RNAcentral also lists the same sequence under 1 other name. The record is from miRBase by way of RNAcentral.
UCUUGAGAACAUGAUGAAUCG